CAGGAAUGCCAAAUGUAUAUAUAAUUAGACACUUAGGAAAAAGUCAAGGAGCCUCGUGUUUAUCGUGCUGGCUCCGUCUCCUGCGCUUUUGGCACUGUGGUUUCUCAGCUGAGCUUCAGGCAGUUGCCUGGGCUGUUAAAUAGCCCUCACCAGGACAAGCAGCUGAGGAAUCCCUGCAGCUCAUUCUGCACUGUGCCGCUGGUGGGUAUUGCUCUUCCAGAGGGCUCAGCUUUAAAGGAAUUUGCUCGAGGGAAGGCGACAGCUGCUGCUCUGAUGAAGGAUUUUUCUGAGCAGGCCUCCCAAGCAAGACAUGUCAGGAUGAGAUGCUGCCUACGCUUUUCAUCACAACCAACAGUGACCAUCAGAAGAGGGAUCAACAAAAGCCUUCUGCCACUGAACACACACGGAAAUGCACAGUCCCAAGGACUGAUUUUUGUCUUGAGAUUGGGAUUUAUGCAGCGCUUUCUUUCUGGAAGGUCUGAGGAUAGAAAAAGUGCCGUAUGACACCUCAUGGGUGUUCCUCGCUUUUCAGCAGUAAAUCUGUUUCUCCAGAGGCAGAAAAAGGAAGAAGGAACACGGCUAAUGAUGCUCGGUGGGGCAAUUCGCCCUUUUAUUUCCUGAUGUAUUCCCUGACUGAUGGAAAAUCACUCUUGGCAAACACAAAACUUACCUUGCUGCCAAAAGGUUGUUAAACUGCAAUCAAAAGCACUUAGUAGGAAUGGAUCUGUCCCUAUUAUGAGAUUUGAACUCCUGACAUCUUUAUCCAGUGGAACUUGAGUGCCCAGGACACAACCAAGAGGGGAUUCUGAGAUCGUUUUUCAACCCCUGCGACUGUGAGCCAGUUGCAGCAUGAGGAAAAGCCCUCCAACACCCCAAUGUACAGGAAAGAGAAGGUAAGGCAAUUCUCUUCAGGUAGCUUUUAGAUAUGGUGCAUUCAGUGAAGUGCCCCAGGCCAGCAAAAUGUGUCCACCUCCACGCUGACACUGCUUUCACUCCUGGAAAGGGCAAGGUUUGAGUACAGCAUCUCUUACAAUCACUGUAAUCUUAUGCAGAGACUAGUCCCUUCUGUCAAUAUAAGCUGCUUGCAACCCUCAUGCGACAAGGUGGGUGUAACAGAUUAAAACACUUGGGUCUUUCCUCCCACUCUGCAGCAAAAGUUCCCCUUGUGAAAGAACAAAUGCCAGUGUUAUUCCACAUGAGAUUCCAUCUGAGCUGGAAAAUAACACAAAAAUGUAGUUCUUUAGAUAUUUCACAGCAAAUAAAUAGCUCCAGGAAAAGAACAACAACAAAAAAGUUCAAGCUUGUGCUUGCAGAGACAGUAAACCACCAUAUUUCAGCAGUCAUGGCAGGUAAUUCUAGCUGGAAAUUGUAUAUUUAAUGAUGGCCAGCCUUCAGCAUUUGACAACAGACUAUUGAAGCCUGUUGAAUGGUAAAUCACCUCUCUUCAUUAUCAGUAAUCCUAUUAUAAUAUCUGUAGAAAUGUCUAAAGUUAAAAUCUCAUUUUAUUACUAUAAUAAUGGAUCUCAUUUGUAAAACAUAUGAAAUGAGGCCAUAACUGUACUGGAGGGAGAUAUAUGUGAACCCACUACAUCUAUAUCUACUUCCUGAUGGCUUUUGCCCACAUAUGCUCACAUUUUGAACAGGAGAAGAACUAAAAUAAAUGCCACUUGCAUGAUUUUUGGGAUUGGGUAUGGUUUUUAGAAAGGAAACCAACAUGAUCACAGAAAUGGAGUAAUCUCCACAAAAAAAGAACAGCCUUAAAUUUACAUUUAUGCAUAGGGAUAUGUAGGUGUUAAUCUGUGAUUUGCUCCAUUCAGCCCUUUCCAAUUGCCAGGAAAGCCCAGCUGCACAUCCACUAUUAUCACUACAUACUAUUUUUGGCUGCUGAGUACAUUUCAAGACACGUCAUCCUUCCCAAUCCAACACUUGCAUGAAGGGCAGAAACUCCUCUCUCCACUCCUCUGUCAUCUAUCACAGCUCCCAUCCCUUGGUGGCACUGCUGGCUCAGCCCUCCCUGCAGAGGGAUCUCCAGCAGUUUCUCCUCAAUCCUCACCAUUUCCUUGAAUGAGCUGCUUUCCAACUGAAGCUUCAUGCAGGAGGCUUCAUGAUAGCAUCCAGAGUACAUGUCCCAAGUAUGUCCAGCCCCAUCUUCUGAUCCUAGUGCAGAGCAGCUCCCGGUAAGUAAUCUCUUGAUGAGUGAUAGAGUUUUUGUGCUCAGUGCCCACAGCUUUUCACAGGUGGGUUGUUUAUAACAGCAUAUAUUUUCCAACCUAACACUUUGGUAGGUUUCCAAUUCUUAUCAUUGCAUGUUGAUGCUGGGUUGCUGUCUGAGGGGAAAAUGCAUAAUAUUUUUCUGACACUGUCUAGCUUUGAUUUCCACAGGUUGUUAAAGCCUAGUAAAUACUGUAAAUUCCACUUCUUGUUUAAGGUUUUUGUUGGCUAGGUGCUAUCCAGCUAUCUAUCUGUUUAACAUUUUUUCUAUUCUGAGGUGACAUUGCUGAGAGCUUUUUGACAGAUCUCAUAUGGAAAAAAGUGUCUUGUGGGGUUAUGAAUCUCUUAAAAUAUAAGGUUUCCUUGGCUGUGCCACAGGAGGACACAUCCCAGCAAGAGCUGUGACCAUUGCUGGUCUGAGCUGGGCAUCUUGUGCUGUGUCUUCCUGAAGCUGCUACCUUUUCCAAUGAAGUAAUUAAAUAUUCAUUAUGUCAGAAAGCAUGCGUGCACGUGUGUGUGUAUGUGUAAGACUACAGCAGAGUGAUCAGGGCAGUCACCUGAUAGACAAGAGACCCUGUUCCCAGUGACUGCUGCAAUGAAUAUUUAAGUAUUUAACAUUAAGUAUUCAUUGGCACAAGGACUGGAGCAGACCUCUUCCACCCCCAAGGGAGCACCCAAACACCAGGCUGCUAAGUCAUUCUUUCAUCCUUACUUUCUUUGUCCCAAUGAAUAUUUAAUUAUUCCAGGCCAAACAAGAUGGCUUCAGUGGCAGAGAUUGAGAUUCCUCACUAUGUGUACCACAGGUCUGAUGAUUAAGGUGUGCAUAUAGGAGAUGUGGGUUCGUAUUCCCUUGGACUUAGAUGCUGAAUCCAGAUCCCCUGUACUCUGCGUGUGUCUUCCAGCUUCUGAGUUGCUGGACAUAAAACCACAGAUUUCCACCAUUCUGCCCAUGAAGAUGACACAGAGAAGACAGAUGACAGUAGCUGUCCUCCUUCAAUACUGAGGAAAAGGCCACCUGUGGACCAGGCUGUGGGGGAAAAGCGGAAAGCAGAGAGAAGGGUUCGAUUUCGUGAGCCGGAAGAAGUCAUUGAGCAUGUUAUUUCCUGCUGUGACUACGUAGUGGUACAUGACAGGUCUUCACCUGGAUUGCCUAUGCUCCUGGGGCUAUCAUUUUGUGUGGUACUGAUCCUGGCUGCAAGUCUCUUCUACACCAGCAUGAAGCAAGAUACCAAAGUCCUGGAAGAGUUUCAAUCCCGACUUGUUAUCUUCUUUCUUCAGAUAAGACACAUUGCUCAUAGAUGCUGGACCUGGUUUACAAGGUAGUAGCAAUGUCCUCCAUUUGCAGGAAGGCAGCACUGAUAAUCACCACGUGUCAGAGAGAACCUCCCAGCCCCCUCAGUCCACACGUAAGGAACACGAGUAUCCACCUUGAAGAGCAAAAAAAGCCACCCAUUUUGUGCACUUUCUAACAUCUACUUGUUCUCUCUUUUUUUAAAUAUAUAUAUUUUUUAAUAUUUCUGAAUGAUAGUAGUAGCACUAAGAGGUCCCACCAAACUGAUGUUCCAUCACCCUUAGCAGCAAACAAGGGUAUGAGUUUAGUCCCCUGAAGAGACUAUAAACUGUUGCUAUAAGGAGCAGAGGCAGAGAGAGGAAUUCAUUGAUCUGUGCAUGCAGAAGUACAUUGAAUAGAAGUCUCCUGAGUCUCAGGUCAAAGAAUAAACACCAAACCAUUUUUCUCCUCAAGCCUCUUACGUGCUAUUCUGCAAAGUUUAACAUAAAGCUGAACUAUGGCACAAACACUGCUCCGCUGGCCAAAGGCUUGGCAAGCUGCUAUAUUUAUAUACUUGAAAUGAUUGCUAGUAAAAAUCUCAGCAAAUGGCUUUCUUGUUUCCCUUCAUGCAUUUUUUCCUCUGUGGGCAAAAGCUGUUCCUUAAUGUUUCACUUGACUCCCAGGUGUGAAAAAUAACGUGAGAACUCAUUUAAAUACUAAACAGUGCAUUUGCCUAACACAAUACAGGGCAGCAUUGAAUCCCAGGUUAAUUAUCAAAUCAGAACUUAAUCCUCUUGGUUUGAUUCAGUCCAUAAACCCAAGAUUUAUGGUUGUGUUUGUCUUCAGUCGAAGCUUUCACAUUUAUGCCUGCAUGUUCAAGGGUAUUAUAGACUGUUUACAAAGGUGUUGGGUCAAAGCCCUGUUAUCUCUGUUGUAGCACCAUACAGCGUACCUCUCUGGAGGGAACCAAGCAUAUGCAAUCUUAUGAGCUUCAGCUAUGCUUUGUUCUUAGAAUCACGUAAUUGCUCAGGUUGGAAAAGACCUUCAAGAUCAUGAAGUCAACCACAGACAGAAACAGCAUGAUCCAUUUUCCAGGCCCUACAUUCUUGUCGAGUAAUACUUGAUAUAUGCAUAAGGGUGACAGCAGAGCCCAUAGAAGCUGAAGAAAAGAAAGGAAACAGUGGAGAAGAGGAAAGAGAUGCCUGCAAGACCUUGGCUUUAACUCCUCUGCCACAGUAAUGCACCAGAAGGAAAAAAAAAAUUCCUAACCGACUUUCAAAAAAAGCAAGCUUGUCCAGGCUGCCCAAAAAUUUAAACCAGACAGAGGGUAAAAGAAAACCAAUUACAUAGCCUUCACCUAGAGCAGAGUGGGCAGCAAGUUGACCAAUAACGAGCACAAAAAUAUAUGUAUUUGUAGUCAGUAAGAACUGACUUGAGCAGCUAUUCUCAUGCUCUGAAGGCAACAGCAAUUGCACCUGGGGAGCUGCUGGUCUGGGACACACAGGGCACUGCAGGAGCGUUUGGCUCAGUGGCUCUUUAUGCAAACCACUCAUGCACCCCAGCCCUCAGGGUAAGUCCCCUGAGGCUUCCCUGCUCUCUCUCUCUCUCUCUCUCUCUCCACUCAGCCCACUGUUGGGAUAAUAAAGAAGAGGUUUUAAACUUAUGCUCUGGUGAAUCUAUGGUGGGAAGGUUUUUCCGGAAGAGUCAAUUCCUGCACUGCAAGUUGUGGUAUAUUGCAACAUAAAAAGGCAAAGCCUGACAGGAGCUGGAUCACUUAGAGGGAGAGCAGUACCACAAAUCCUUCCUGCGUGCUUCAAUGCAGUUUCAGUAACUUGAAAAGAAGCCAAGGGGUUAAAAUUAACCAGGAACUCCUUUUAGGACUGUGAGGGAUGAUAUGAAAUCCAUAUGCAUGUUAAUAUGCAUGGGGCCUCCUUCUUCUAGCCCUGCUCAAGGUGGAAAAUAGCCACGCUGACCUUGCUGUGCCCAGGUUUAUCAGUGUGAGAGGCCCACACUGAGAAUGGCUAUCACAUCCAGGUUGGCAAGGGAAAUAAAGCAGAGGAGCAGCUAUUCCUGGCUCUGGCUAGGACAGCUUUAGGCACAGGCAAUAGCAGCACUUGAGUUGUCUGCAGAUUCCCCAUGUUUUUGGGAGGCUUCCUGGGCUGGGAUUCUUUGCUGCGAUCAGUCAGGUAUUUGGCAAAAUGCAGAGAGCCAAAAGAAUGCAUUGUAGAGUACCAGCAGACAGCCUGAAACAAAUAAAAGCUAAAAUCUGUCCCUGGGAGAGCAGUGACCUUUUACAGCUGAAGAAUCUGCAGCUGAGAAAGCCAGUGCCUCUGUGCAAGUGAAUGAAGCAGGUCAAUAGCCAGGGUGGAAAUAGGAGUUAAAGUCCUGACCUCUAGGCCUGCCUUUAAUUACCAAUGCACAGCUCCACUGUAGACUUACCUGUUUUAUUUUCUCCUGGCACUGAAGCACUUGUCCCCUCAAACCAUUCUGCUUACACACAGCACCAUUCUCAUACUCUGUUCUUUAUCCAUCACACAUCUGUGCAUACUGCUGUGAGUCAGAGAGGAUUUCUCCUUGCUCUUGCUCAACACUGCUUUCUUAGGUGUGACACCUUGGUGAGUUUGGAGAAGAUGACCUCUGAAUUUAUACAGAAUGGGUUGUGUUGGUUACUGUUUCCCUUGCAGGCUGUGCUGGGUAAUAUUUUCCUCCAGUAUGACUCCCGAGAAUUGCUUUAUAAGGAGGAAAACAAACGGAGAGGGAUGUAAUAAUGAUAAUGUAAUAAAUGGUCAAACGUUCACAUGAAUUCACUGCGGUGCCAACAUGAAGACUAACUAAAACUCAGCUAUCUCUGAGCAAUUAUUUAGUCUAUCGUGGAAAUGUCAUUUUUUUUCAUCAAGUUGCAGAGAGGAGCGACAGACUCUUGCAGCAAGUUUUGAAGAAGGCUGCAAAUAAGUAGGCUUGCUAUGAGCACUGUCUGGAUUGGUAAGAAUCCAAGGGACAGAAGAGAGCAGAGAGUUCUGUGCACGAAAAGAGGCCUAAGGGCAGAAGUGCUCCUUACUAUCCUUUAUGCAAUGGGUGUUAAAUUCAUGCAUAGCAGGAAUCAGCAGAUCAUGGCAGUGUUGUUCUGACAAUGUGCAGUGCAUUCCUGCAGCAGAAACAGAGGGCAGCUGCCAGCACCCUCUUCAGGCAGGCUCACCCCAUCAGCACCACCUGAUUGCAUUAGCUGGCAUAGCCAUUCCCAUAUGAUUACAGGAUGUAGAAAAGCACACAGUGAGAUGACACUAGAUUUUUUGUGUGUUAACCUCUUAACACACUUUGCAUUCAUGUUUGCAGCUCCAAAGUCUGCUUCUAGUCCUGCUCUACUGCUUCACCUCUCCAGCACUGUGAGUCUGGAAACAAGUUAAGGAGCACAAGCAGUCUGUGGUAGCAAUUUUAGUUGUUUCUGCCUUUUACCACUUCAAAGCAAGCGGAAGGUUGGCAGCAUGUGACUACACAAAAAAAAGAAAAGCAUUGCAGCUACCCUAAAGAAAUAGCUCAGGAGCCUCCAAGAUUAUAGAGUGGACUCCUUUCUCACUAUUUCUUUCUCCACAGUGGCUGUUGGGAUUUAGUCUCACUCCUGGAGAGAAAGGCUGCUGCUACAGGAAGAAAAUUAGUCAGUUGACAAUUAGAAGAUUAACCUGCCCAUGCAACCUGUAAUAGCCCUUUACACUUGGUAACAAGCUGACCUUCAGCCACAUCCUGACACAGGAUCUUCUUCUCUUUGCCUUCUUUAGCAUUAGAGUUCACUGCUGGAAGAUGGUGAAAGGGCUCAGCUUAGGAGGUUGGUCACAUCCUUGACCAUAGGAGCUGCAGCAAGGAGAUUCCAAGGAAUGACUGCAUAAACCAGGAUUACACCAGUAACUCUGGUAACCAUUUUUUAACCAACAUAGUAAUAAUUUCAAUUCACCCUCAAAAAAAAAGGCACAGAAAUACUAACUUUUCAAAUAGUUUAUUUGUAUAUAUCAACAAAUCAUAAAAAGCCAAUGCACUGUCCAGCAAAAAGCAUCAAUAUAUAAAACACAUUUAAUCGUUAUCAGUAAUACUUGAGUAUACCACUUACACUGAGCCCAGUCCAGCUCCCUACUAAAGCCAAAGGAAACAUUGUCAAUGACUCCGUUAGCAGAAGGAUUGGACUUGCAAUUUCUAUUUGCCAGGUGUUUACAAAUGCUUGCAUUAAAAUACUAGUAUAAAGUUUCCCCUUUGAGACUGUAUCAAAACAACGAUAAGUUUAACUCCAAUUCUGUUUCUGUCAAAUGCAUGCAAUUAAUGCUCCAGAUCAGCACUCGUUACACUGCAGGAGAGCAUACAAAGCAUGAGAAAGAAUAUUCAAAACAGAGCAAGCUCUACCCUCAGCUUGUGUGGACUGGCAUGGCUCCAACGAGGCUUACAAAGCUAAGCUGCAUACACCAGCUAAAGAUCUGUCCCAAUCCUACUUUCAGCAGUUAAACAAAUUGUCAAAGUCUGGAGACCUCAAAAACAAAUUAUGAAACACUGAGUGGUCCAAGCUAAGGCUGAAACUGGCAUCAGCACUGCCAGCCCAGGCUCUGCCACACUGGACCCCUCACAUCACAGCCUGAAUGCUGAAGUCCCUCACAGGAAGAACACUAACAGUUCUCAUUAUCUAUUUUUAUUCUGACUUACGGCACUCUCCUACCCCCUUUUUGCUAUCCUUGUUCCUGAUAGGAAGAGAUGUGAGAAACAAGGCCUGAUUAGCCUGGUGGCAAUAAAACUCUGUAACGUUUCCAAGAGUGUUUUUAGAGAAGAAAGGAUUCAGGGGAAGGAGAUGUCAGUGGAACUGGAUUAUUUUUCUUUAUAAACCUGCAAAAAAAACCUUUUAGCAGUACACUUCAAAUCAUGAUAUAUUCAUUUCUCAAGAGAGCUGAAAAAGAGCGGUAGUUUUAUUCAGGGAGUAUUUGACAAAAAUCUCUAAUGGCACCAAUUUACUGUGGAUGUGAUCCCACUGCAGUCUUGUGGUCACCGACCAAAAGGGCGGUUUACAUCUCCUAAAAAACACUGGUUUGAGGAGACUGACAGCAGCUUUAGAAGCCAAAUGGUGACCACACCGAGCAGUGAGGAUUUAAAUCAUUGCAGCAGUCUAGAAAGUGGCAAUGGUUAAUUAACAUGAAGAUCCAGUGUGCUACAGGAGGAUGUGUGGUAUCUCAGACACAGACUGUUGCACUUUGCAGUGUUAACAGGAAAAAAGUAAUUCCUUCUGCUGUGGGACUGAGUGGGUGAAGAGCUCUGGACUGUGUUGUGUGGGAUACUAUGACAGAGUAUUUUCAAACAUCUCCCUGCUUUAGAAUCUAUGGAUUAACGUAUCACUCAUCUGAUUCCACCAGGUUGCUUAAGGGAAUCCUGGCAACCAACUUUGGGAAUCUUUUAGAGCAACGUGUCAGCCAAAUCAGGCCUGGUUUGUGUAAAAGGAAGAGUUUGGCACCAAACCUCAGGGAGUCCAAAUGAGAAUAGCAAAAAAAAACUGAAAUGCUUUUUAUUUCUCUAACAAAUGGCAAAGUUUGCCAUAGGAGCUGCAAUUUCUCUUACAUUCAUAAAUACUGUUCAGAAGCUGUACACAAACUGGAGUCAAACAUGCACAGACGUGGGGGGAAAGGAGGGGAAAAUAAGGACUUUCACCACAGGGUCAUAUAUCCACUUGUGUAAGAAAUCACUCAAGAGGGCAACAGCAAUGAUGAAUUUUCAUUCCUACCUCCUGGCAGGGCAUCUCCACCCUCUCUUUACACCAUAGACAUGUGGAAAGGAGGAACAAGAAUACCUCAGACUACAUUUCCACAAUAA
Molecule: long non-coding RNA, 9313 nt
Filed under: Gallus gallus (chicken)
Lineage: Eukaryota; Metazoa; Chordata; Aves; Galliformes; Phasianidae
Description: lncRNA (ENSGALG00010018463.1)
Source: RNAcentral